RNAcentral lists this ribosomal RNA (538 nucleotides) under uncultured bacterium. Its description in RNAcentral is "bacterial SSU rRNA". It matches the Rfam family "Bacterial small subunit ribosomal RNA", at positions 772 to 1313 of the family's 1533-position model. The record is from RNAcentral.
ACUGAAUAGAUACCCUGGUAGUCCAUGCUGUAAACGAUGAGAACUAGAUGUUAGGGGCAUGACCUCUUAGUAUCGAAGCUAACGCGAUAAGUUCUCCGCCUGGGGAGUACGGCCGCAAGGUUAAAACUCAAAGAAAUUGACGGGGGCCCGCACAAGCGGUGGAGCAUGUGGUUUAAUUCGAUGCAACGCGAAGAACCUUACCUACCUUUGAAUCCACGGAACCUAGCAGAGAUGUUGGGGUGCCUUCGGGAACCGUGAGACAGGUGCUGCAUGGCUGUCGUCAGCUCGUGUCGUGAGAUGUUGGGUUAAGUCCCGUAACGAGCGCAACCCUUGUCCUUAGUUGCCAUCAGGUUAUGCUGGGCACUUUAAGGAGACUGCCGGUGAUAAACCGGAGGAAGGUGGGGAUGACGUCAAGUCCUCAUGGCCCUUACAGGUAGGGCUACACACGUGCUACAAUGGGCAGUACAGAGGGAAGCCAACCCGCGAGGGGAGCGAAUCUCAUAAAGCUGUUCGUAGUCCGGAUUGGAGUCUGCAACUC